Molecule: long non-coding RNA, 2221 nt
Filed under: Olea europaea subsp. europaea
Lineage: Eukaryota; Viridiplantae; Streptophyta; Magnoliopsida; Lamiales; Oleaceae
Source: RNAcentral
CCAACAUCAGCACUAUCGUGAACUUGCAUAGCGUUCGAUCAUGGUGUUGCUUCUUCACCAUUCCAUCAUUUAGUCUGGGCAACCUCGUCGUCGCCACCCUUUCCCAUUCUCAAUCUCUUCAAUCAUACUCAUCUUAGUGUAAGACGGAGAUGUCAUUAUCCAAAAAGUCCACCCCCAGCUCCCCUCAGGCUAGAAGUUGCCCCUCGCUUGCCGAAUCCUCUCUUUGGGUCAGGUCUCUCCCAUAUCAAAAAAUUUGCAUUUAGAAACCCCCCUGAUAAAGACCAAAACAACUACUAAUUCUCUCAAACUGUCCUACCCACGUAGUCCUUUAAUUCACAAAAAACCGUGAUGGACAUUUGAGGAUUUACGAUGUGAGGUUGAAUUUGAAGGGGAAGAAUUGGGGUCCUGUUACAAAUUAGGGAAAAUUGUAUCUAUUAUAUUCUAGUUUAAAAACUGUUUAAGUCAAUUUUAUUUUAUUUGUAAGAAGUUUCAAUCUUCAAUUUAUUUAAGAGUUUGUUAUUUGGUCUUCGUUUGCUGAAUAAGUUUAGCCCCCUUUUGGCUCCCAUUUUUUGGAAAUGAGAAUGGUGGAAUAGUGUUUUUUUUUAUUUAAAAAAUGAAUAAUUGAAAAAGCAGUAAAAAAUUUUCGAUUUAUGUGUGAUAUUAUUUUAUGGAAGAUUAUGUGAUUGAAAAUAGGAAAGAGAAAAAUGAAAUGUAAUUUAAUGAGGGCCAAACAGUGUUUUAGAAGCACGUUGGUUCUUUCAAUUUCAUUAGUUAAGAAACUUAAAAGGAGAAUUUCUCUAUAUAAAUUGCAUUCUAUACUUGCUGCUAUAUAUAUAUUGUAGCACUUUAAUUUUCAUUUUUCUGGUUCUAGUUUUCAUCAAGAAAUAAAAUACAGAUUGAAGAAUAAGAUCUUUUCUUUCCCGCUCCUUUGUUUCUCUGCUAUUUUCAUUUUUCUGGUUCUAGUUUUCAUCAAGAAAUAAAACACAGAUUGAAGAAUAAGAUCUUUUCUUUCCCCUCCUUUGUUUCUCUGCUAUUUUUAUUGCUUCUUUGGUUUUCAAUAAUCCAUCAUGGUUUGUUAUAUGGUAUCAGACCUUGGUCGCCUAUCAAGUGUUUGAGUUUAUUGCUCAAAGAAAUGAACGAUGGAGGCAGUGCCUGUGUAGACAAGCUUGUUGGUAACGAUUAUAGUUAUUGGAAACUAUGCAUGGAAACGUAUGACAGAAUUUUUGUGGGAACUUAUCUCUGGCAAUGUAAUUCCAGAAGAUAUGCUACAAAAUGUUGAAUUGAGGCAGAAAAUAAAGUGUGGAAAAGCUUUAUUUACUUUGCGAACAUCAAUAAAGAGUACAUCUAGUAUGUUUGCGAUGAGGAGUCGCCAAAGAAAGUGUAGGAGACACUUGAAAGGCUGUUUACUCAAAAGAACACGAAGUGGCUGUAGGUUUUAUCUCUUCGAUACAAGGGUGGACAAAUCAACCUACUAUCAUUGAGUUGGAGAAUCUGCUACGAACUCAAGAAGCACCACUGAAACAAAUGUCCAACAACAGCAACAAGUCUUUCUUUCUCUCUCAAGUUGAGGAUGUUCUUUACACCAGGACCAAAGAAAAAAAGAAUUUUUCCUCUUAGUACUCAGGUGAUGGCAAGCUAUCAAAACUGGGGGGCAAUCCAAGGGAAAUUCAAAAUCUCGUUACAAGUAUGGAGUUGGGAGAUCGCCAAUGUGAAAAUCAAGCCAUAUUAAAGAAAAUUGAUGUGUUGAUCUCACAAAAGCAGAAGCUAAUGUUCCGCAUGAAGCUAGUGAAUUUCAAAAGCUAAAAUGGGAGCAAUGCUUAUCCAUUGAGGUUAUCGAUCAACAGGCUAGCAUGAUUUCUAAAGUGCACCAAACUAAUAUAGAUAUUGUUACUAAUAUUUCCAUAGACUACAACAAGGAUUGGAUAAUUGAUUAUGGCUGCUUUCAUCAUGCAACUGGAAAAUGCUUCGUAACUUUUUGAUGUUCAUCCGCAUUGUAGAAAAAGUGUCAUUGUGACAGUUGAUAAUUCAUUACAUUGUGUCGUCAAAGAAGGGCAUCUCAAUGUCAGCAUUGAUAUUUUAAAUGCUGAUGAUAUUUCUUAAAAAUGUUUGUUUAAAGAAGAAUCUUGGUUUGGUCUCUUACUUAGUUGAUUCUGGGAGGUAUUUUUAUUUUUUAGUCCAAAUGAUGUACAAAUUCUUUCAAAAGUAAAAGAUAUUGCUGUUG